CCCUUAGAUGUCCUGGGCCGCACGCGCGUUACACUGAUGCAUUCAACGAGCCUAUAACCUUGGCCGAGAGGCCUGGGCAAUCUUGUUAACGUGCAUCGUGAUAGGGAUAGAUUAUUGAAAUUAUUAAUCUUGAACGAGGAAUUCCUAGUAAACGCAGAUCAUCAAUCUGCAUUGAUUACGUCCCUGCCCUUUGUACACACCGCCCGUCGCACCUACCGAUUGGAUGGUCCGGUGAAGCCUCGGGAUUGUGGUUCUUGCCGCUUUAUUGUGGCGUGACCGCGAGAACUUGUCUAAACCUUAUCAUCUAGAGGAAGGUGAAGUCGUAACA
RNAcentral lists this ribosomal RNA (328 nucleotides) under uncultured eukaryote. Its description in RNAcentral is "partial 18S ribosomal RNA". It matches the Rfam family "Eukaryotic small subunit ribosomal RNA", at positions 1470 to 1796 of the family's 1831-position model. The record is from RNAcentral.